Molecule: non-coding RNA, 554 nt
Organism: Myxocyprinus asiaticus (Chinese sucker)
Lineage: Eukaryota; Metazoa; Chordata; Actinopteri; Cypriniformes; Catostomidae
Source: the annotation of a RefSeq genome assembly
CACCAACAGAUACUUACUACACAAAACUUAGACAAAAGCUGUGGAUGUCCGUUCUGACCCUGAGUCAAUUGAUCAUGAGUCAAAUUCUAUUAAUUUUAAUUGCCUCUUUGCCAUAUGUUCAUGGCAUCUCACUGACCUUGUCACCUGUACAGAUUAAAGCUCCUGGUGAAUCAGUGAGGUUGUUCUGUCAGAUCUCUGGAUAUUCCCUCAGUGAUUAUGGCACAGCAUGGCUCAGACUUACUUCUGGAAAAGGCAUGCAGUGGAUCGGGUUCAUAUGGGGUGGUGGAUCAAUAGACUCUGGAAAUUCCUUCAAGAGUCGCUUCACUAUAUCCAGAGACACAAACCGUAAUCAGCUGUAUUUAGACAUCAGCAGUCUGCAGACUGAGGACACAGCUGUGCAUUACUGUGCAAAGACUGCUGCACUGGCUCAUCUCAGUGUGAGAAACUGGCAGAAACACAUCUGCUGUACAUUUCAUCCAUGUGUGCAAAGCAUUCACAAUUAUCUACACACCUGUUCUGUUCCAAACAAUAACUGUAGUAUAUUAUAUGAAUAA